UAAGGAAUAUUGGUCAAUGGGCGCAAGCCUGAACCAGCCAUGCCGCGUGCAGGAAGACGGCCCUACGGGUUGUAAACUGCUUUUGUACCGGAAUAAACUUUGAUACGUGUAUCAAGCUGAAUGUACGGUAAGAAUAAGGAUCGGCUAACUCCGUGCCAGCAGCCGCGGUAAUACGGAGGAUCCAAGCGUUAUCCGGAUUUAUUGGGUUUAAAGGGUGCGUAGGUGGCCUAUUAAGUCAGGGGUGAAAGACGGUAGCUCAACUAUCGCAGUGCCUUUGAUACUGAUGGGCUUGAAUACAGUUGAAGUGGGCGGAAUGUGACAAGUAGCGGUGAAAUGCAUAGAUAUGUCACAGAACACCGAUUGCGAAGGCAGCUCACUAAAGUGUGAUUGACACUGAGGCACGAAAGCGUGGGGAUCAAACAG
Molecule: ribosomal RNA, 423 nt
Filed under: uncultured bacterium
Lineage: Bacteria
Description: bacterial SSU rRNA
Rfam family: Bacterial small subunit ribosomal RNA
Source: RNAcentral